This is a long non-coding RNA of Helianthus annuus (common sunflower), 1297 nucleotides long. RefSeq lists it as uncharacterized. NCBI's taxonomy places the organism in Eukaryota, Viridiplantae, Streptophyta, Magnoliopsida, Asterales, Asteraceae. The record is from RefSeq and is a predicted model, not a curated record. The transcript has 6 exons.
GAUCUACAUCUGGACCGUCCAUUUGACUUCACACGGAUCACCAAUUGCUUUCUCUCUCAUUCCUCACACAUCUCACAAAACAACAUCAGAUCUUCUCUCUCUCUUCUCUCUCUCUCUCGGCGAUCUAGGGUUUCAUGAGAGUAUGAGGAUGAGCUUGGUAAGACGAUGCGACGGUGCGACGGUGUUGAGGACCUAACCAUCGCCUCCAACAAUGGUGGCUAGGGUUUCUUACAGAUCUGACGUAUAAUUUUCGGAGAGUUUUGGUAAAUUGGCGACCAUACAUACGAUAUCAGUUGUAAAGUGCACAAGUAUAAUGUCUUAUCCAUGAAUAUUAGACAUGUUUGAGGGGUACACCAAAAAGAAGCUCAUUGUUACCAAGAACCAGGGAUUGGAUGUUAGUUUGAAUUUGGGUUCCUCUUCGUUGGCUGAUGGUUCGAAAUGGACGGAUUGGAUCCUGGCGGUCAUUAUAAACAGCCGAAAGUUAAUUCCUUGGCAAUGUGAGACCUUCUUACUGUUAACUUUUUUUUGUUUUGAUAGGCUUUGUGAUUAUUGUUAAAAUAUGACUGAUUAAGGUUAAAAACUUAAAUGGUAUUUGACGGUUUUUUUCAAGAAUUAAUUAAUAUUUUUGGAUAAAAGAAUAUUAAUCGAUCUACCCUACACUAAACGAUAAAGACAAGGAGGCAAGAUGCUAAACCAUCUCAGUAUUGAGUUAUUUACAACCAAUCAAUUAACAUGGGUGUUUACUUGUACCAAUAAUUGUUUUAAAUGAACCAAUGGGUUGUCGUGCAUCGUAUGUUUUAGUUUUUCUUUUUCUGUUUUUUAUGGACCCAGAAAUUGCAUAAAUAGAAUGUAAUACCAGCAUCUGUAGUAGGCGGUAACAGAUCUGUUUGUUUGUCUUUCUUGAUUUGACAACAUUGGCGAGCUACUUUUGUUUAAUGUUAGGUUAUCAGCACACGGAGAGUAAAAAAACAAUGUUGACUUCCCGAAGUGUGCAAGAUAUUCGAGAAGCUCGUGAAUAUCUUUCUACACUAAGUGACCUCAGUUAAACUCAAAAUUUUGCAGAGAUUGAAAAUGUAGAGGGCCUUGUGAAUUUUGAUGAAAUUCUACAGGAAGCUGAUGGCAUUAUCCUUGCUAGAGGGAAUUUACGGAUUGACCUUCCACCAGAUAAGGUAUUUCUGUUUCAAAAAGCAGUUGUGUACAAAUGUAAUAUGGCUGGGAAACCGGCUGUUGUUACUCCCGACAACUUGAGGCCCACCCGUUCUGAAGCUACUGAUGUUGCUAAUGUUGUUUUAGAUGG